GAUGAACGCUGGCGGCGUGCCUAAUACAUGCAAGUCGAGCGAACAGAUGAGGAGCUUGCUCCUCUGACGUUAGCGGCGGACGGGUGAGUAACACGUGGAUAACCUACCUAUAAGACUGGGAUAACUUCGGGAAACCGGAGCUAAUACCGGAUAAUAUAUUGAACCGCAUGGUUCAAUAGUGAAAGACGGUUUUGCCGUCACUUAUAGAUGGAUCCGCGCCGCAUUAGCUAGUUGGUAAGGUAACGGCUUACCAAGGCAACGAUGCGUAGCCGACCUGAGAGGAUGAUCGGCCACACUGGAACUGAGACACGGUCCAGACUCCUACGGGAGGCAGCAGUGGGGAAUCUUCCACAAUGGGCGAAAGCCUGACGCAGCAACACCGCGUGAGUGAUGAAGGUCUUCGGAUCGUAAAACUCUGUUAUUAGGGAAGAACAAAUGUGUAAGUAACUAUGCACGUCUUGACGGUACCUAAUCAGAAAGCCACGGCUAACUACGUG
RNAcentral lists this ribosomal RNA (497 nucleotides) under uncultured bacterium. Its description in RNAcentral is "partial 16S ribosomal RNA". It matches the Rfam family "Bacterial small subunit ribosomal RNA", at positions 28 to 507 of the family's 1533-position model. The record is from RNAcentral.